Molecule: non-coding RNA, 514 nt
Filed under: Calymperes palisotii
Lineage: Eukaryota; Viridiplantae; Streptophyta; Bryopsida; Dicranales; Calymperaceae
Description: partial contains tRNA-Leu, trnL-trnF intergenic spacer, and tRNA-Phe
Rfam family: Group I catalytic intron (bases 10-321)
About the family: Group I catalytic introns are large self-splicing ribozymes. They catalyse their own excision from mRNA, tRNA and rRNA precursors in a wide range of organisms. The core secondary structure consists of 9 paired regions (P1-P9).
Source: RNAcentral
CGGUAGACGCUACGGACUUAAAUAAUUUGAGCUUUAGUAGAAAAACUUACUAGAUGUUAGCUUUCAAAUUCAGGGAAAUUUAGGUUGAAAAAAGUCUAAACAAUCCUGAGCCAAAUAUUUUAUUAUUUUUAAUAAGUUUAUUAAAAAAUAAUAAAAAAUAGGUGCAGAGACUCGAUGGAAGCUAUCCUAACGCAAAAAAGUUUAACAUUAUUUAAUUGAAAUUUAAAAGUUAAUUGAAAUAAAAAAAUUUAAUUAAAUUAUUUAUUAAUUAAAUAAUAAGCGAGGAUAAAGAUAGAGUCCAACUUUAUAUGUUAAUUUUUUUAACAACAAUUUAAUUUGUAGUAAAAAGAAAAUCCGUUGGCUUUAUUGACCGUGAGGGUUCAAGUCCCUCUAUCCCCAAAUUUAUGAAUUUUUUUUUUAUUGACAUAAUCCUUUAUGUUAUGUUAAGAUAGUCCAAAUAAAAAGCCGGAAUAGCUCAGUUGGUAGAGCAGAGGACUGAAAAUCCUCGUGUCAC